This 253-nucleotide ribosomal RNA is filed under the name uncultured bacterium. RNAcentral describes it as "partial 16S ribosomal RNA". It matches the Rfam family "Bacterial small subunit ribosomal RNA", at positions 524 to 776 of the family's 1533-position model. The record is from RNAcentral.
UACGGAGGUGGCAAGCGUUGUUCGGAAUUACUGGGCGUAAAGGGCGCGUAGGCGGCAAGGCAAGUCAGGUGUGAAAGCCCCGAGCUUAACUCGGGAAUUGCAUCUGAAACUGCUGUGCUUGAGUUCUGGAGGGGGUAGUGGAAUUCCCAGUGUAGCGGUGAAAUGCGUAGAUAUACGGAGGAAUACCUGAGGCGAAGGCGGGUUGCUGGGCCAACACUGACGCUGAGGCGCGAAAGCCAGGGGAGCAAACGGG